UCACAUUCGAGUUUUAAAGCU
This 21-nucleotide non-coding RNA is filed under the name Caenorhabditis elegans. Lineage: Eukaryota; Metazoa; Nematoda; Chromadorea; Rhabditida; Rhabditidae. The record is from RNAcentral.